This 75-nucleotide transfer RNA is filed under the name Candidatus Onthoplasma faecipullorum. Its description in RNAcentral is "tRNA-Cys". It matches the Rfam family "tRNA". Rfam says of the family: Transfer RNA (tRNA) molecules are approximately 80 nucleotides in length. Their secondary structure includes four short double-helical elements and three loops (D, anti-codon, and T loops). Lineage: Bacteria; Bacillati; Bacillota; Clostridia; Christensenellales; Christensenellaceae. The record is from RNAcentral.
GGCACCAUCGCCAAGUGGUAAGGCAAAGGUCUGCAAAACCUUCAUUCACCAGUUCAAAUCUGGUUGGUGCCUCCA